This 65-nucleotide ribosomal RNA is filed under the name Sinonovacula constricta (Chinese razor clam). Its description in RNAcentral is "partial 5.8S ribosomal RNA". The record is from RNAcentral. Lineage: Eukaryota; Metazoa; Mollusca; Bivalvia; Cardiida; Solecurtidae.
CUGCAUCUUGAACGCACAUUGCGGCCGCGGGUCACUCCCGCGGCCACGCCUGUCCGAGGGUCGGC